GGCACGCUGUAGAAUGGUGAAAUGUGCCAUUCGUUAAUACAUUGAAGCUAUUUUUGUUUGACUUCUCCCACUGAAGGGCCAUAAUUAGGCUUCUAUAGCCAGGGAAAUGCUGUCUUUAUUAAAAGUCAUGUUCAUAAAUGUUCUCUUGAGAUUGGUGUAUAGAUCACUAUAGCACUUGCCAAGUGUGCAUAAGAGCCUGCUGGUCCCUGGCACUACUACAAAAAAAUUAAAAAAUAAAAUUAAAAAUUAAAAAAAAGACUUUUCACCCAAUAUUUAAGGUGAGUUUUCUUGAAGGACAGCAACCAUUUCUCUACCCUAACUACUCUCUAGUUUACUUUACCUCAUUCUUUUUAAACUUGAGCGUCAAGACCAGAAUUAUCAGGCCUGAGAGACUUGAGCAACCUCCCCUCUUCCUGCCCCAUAGCAUGUUCGUAUGCUGUGCAUGCAUGGGUGCGCACACACACAUAUUUGCAGAAGUUAAGCCUUGCACAGUCAGUUCUUUGCAGCGUCCUAUACAACCUAGCCUCCCUAGUAAUACAAUGCACUUUCUUAGCACACACGUAAGUCAAAGCUCACUUCAGUCUGACUUGAUGUUUAGAGAGGAAGAUGCCAGUUGGGAAGAAGCCUGUCAGUUUGUCGAGCCUGCCCAUGACAGGCGGGGUGCGGAGGAGCUUCUCUGGGGACGAAGAGUUGACUCCUCCUCCAUAUCGAACCCUGCCAGCACAGACAGCCCUGGAGGCCUUCCCACCUCCCAGCACUAGCCGAGAGUUCAGGCCCAGCCUCAAAACAGGUAACUAGUCACAGCAGCAUCACAGGUACUAUAGAGUAUGGGUCAGGUGCUGGGCAGGGUGGUGGGAGACAAAGCAUGGGCUGGCGGGACAGGGGCCCACUCAUCCAAAUCCUCCUUUUUCUUUUUCUUUUUUUUUUUUUAACUAAAAAUAUCCAUUUCCACUGGUUCUCGGCAGCCAUUUCACUAAGAUGAGCCAUCAGGGAAGAAUUGAGUUGAUAUGGAGCAUCAGUGAAAGCCAUCAUUUUAGUUUUUUGGAAUUAUGAGGCAACUUCCAAUAUUUGAUGCUUUGGUUAGAAUGGUUGAACAUACUACAUUGUAGAUGUCUAUGGACUUGACUUGAGGGAGAGAGAGAGAGAGAGAUGCUGAUAAUUAGACCUAAAAGUGAGACUUUGUUCAUAACAUUCCAUAGUGGGUCAUUCAUGGAAAACGUGUAUUGAGUUCAAAUAAUUUUUAUUUUAGUGGUAGCAUUUACCAUAAACUAAGCUUGAACAUCAUCACAGAUUUAAAAAUACAUUACUUACCGAUCAUGGUAUUAAAUUUAUUUCCAUAAUUCCAUGUUUCAAUAUGCAUGGUGAUUACCUGACAUUUCUUGGUGUUUAGUUGGUUAGGCAAGUGAAGGAAGACUGCUCAAAAUUUUCCCUGUUGUAAUUGCUAAAAACAAAGCUGACUUUAGAUGAGAGUCCUGAUCUUGUAGCUUCAAAUCCAGAGUGCUGGUUUGAUUAGCAUGUAUCCUACCACAGUUUAAUGAUUGUUUUUCAACUGACUUGUUCUAGAUGUCAGCAUUUCCUAAAUGACUUUGUAGUUUAAAAACUUAAGUGGAAUUUAGGACUUUGUUGUUUCCUGCUACUGUUUACCAGGAUGUUUGUACCUGACAUUAUCAGCUCCCCCCCCCCCCUUUUUUUUUAACUUCUUACCUCUCACAGCUCUGAUAAUGUGUGCAGUCAUCUUACCUCUCACAGCUCUGAUAAUGUGUGCAGUCAUCUUGAGCUUUCCAUCAGGCCGUGUUUCUGAUGACCAUACAUCAAGGGAAAGUUCCAUGUUUCAUUUUCCAUGAAAGGCAGAUUAGGAUUACAAAUCCCAAAUUUCAUCUGCUGUGUUCAGGCAUGGUGGUGAGACCCAUUCACCCCAGCAGGAAGAUUGGGAAUUCAAGCUGUCUCCUGAGAGACUGACUGAACAAAGCCAACAGUGUUAGCUACUCUUUAAUGAUCAACCUCUAAGGACUAAGAGCAUUCCAGGUCAUUGUUAAGUUUUCUCUUUUUAAUACACACUGUUUAUGAAAUAGUACUUUACCUGAAUAUGAAUAUCCUUACUUUGUUAGAGGUUCUGAUUCAUGUCAAACUUAGCUAGACUUGUGAGAAGACGGCAAACCUCAUGACUUCCAACUUCCUCAUUCCUCUAGUGCCUGUCAUGUCUUCUUGCUCUGGGGUGUGUCUUGUGGGCCGUGGUAUGAUCUGCUUAGUGAAGCUCUGUGGGAACUGCACUGCUGCCUUCAUGCCUGAAAGCCACUGUUAGACUGGUUGUUUGGCAAAUUUAUUAUUGUUGAUUUUAUACCUGCAAAGAUGUCACUUUCAUUUGCUUCUCUUGAGACAUUUUCAUGAUUAGUGUCACUUAGGUGGUUGAUUUUAAAAGCAGAGCCUAGAAAGUACAUUGGUGUAGAAUGUGACAUUGAGCUGCUUGAUCUAUUGCAUUCAUCCGUCACUGUUCGAGAAUAAAGGCUAGGAAAGGGGGAUGAUAGCAGACAGGCUUUAUUUUAGUAAGUUUACAUUAAAACGUUCCAUACCUGCGUGAAUGUUUCACCUUUUUCUUGAGUGAUUUUUCAGUACAUCAUUUUCAUAUUUUAACAUGACUCUUCUCAAGAUACUUGUUUUGAGUACAAAUGGAUACAGCUUUAGGAUGUGUUUCAGAACCUUGGUUAUCUUCCUUACAUAAAAACAUCCUUUUGAGUGAAACAUCUUUGAUCUUGAAGCAUGGUACUUCCCAUUCAUUUAGCCAUCUAAUCAUCAUAGAACAAGAUAACAUUCAACCUUUUAUUGUGGGUACUGCACCUUUAAUGAAAUGUGGGUUUUGUUUCCAUGUUUAUCCUUGUGAUAAGUGCUAAAAUGUCCCUAAUAUUUACUGCAUCUUGGUUAGAUCUGAAGGAUAGCUAUAUGCAUAUUUGCCACUGUUUGUUAGGCAAAGGAAGAACUAUACAGUUGCAUGUGCUUUGCCUUUCAACAGUAUGUUCUUUCUUCUGCUCUUACUAUACAUAGUAUAUUCACUUUUUUGUCUAUGGGCUAUUGAGUUUUUCAACAUAAAUGCCAAAACAGGAACCAAAGUAAGAUGAAUUGUCAUCUCUCAAAAGAUUAUUCAUUAAAAUUUGUAAAUAAGGUGUCAAGUGUUAGCUGAAUAUUCAGUAGUCAAGUCUUUUUGAGUUCAAGGCUAGCUUAGUCUAUCUAAAUAACAAGUUCCAGACCAGCCAGAGCUACAAAGUGAGACCCCCAUCUCAAAAAUACAGAUAAAUAGGUAAAAAUGAAAAAGAUAUCCUACUGCUGGGUUUUCUGGGUAUUUGUUAAUCUUGUUAUGUAGUAUAUAAUCUACACUGGCUUCAAAUUCAAGAUCCUCUUACUUCAGCCUCUAAAAUACUGGGACUAUAGGUAUGACCUAACAUGCUUGUACUGGGAGAUGAGCCAGUAAUUUUUGAGGAAAUCUUCAUAACUGAAAUCAGUGUACAGAGGCUGGAAGUGUAGCCCACCAGUGGAGUGCUAACCUAGCAUAGGCAAAACUAAAUUCAGUCUCCAAUACC
RNAcentral lists this long non-coding RNA (3572 nucleotides) under Mus musculus (house mouse). RNAcentral's name for it is "long non-coding RNA chr11:93938922-93942494". The record is from RNAcentral. Lineage: Eukaryota; Metazoa; Chordata; Mammalia; Rodentia; Muridae.